CAUUCUCUAUAGUCUAUAUAUAUAUAUAUAUAUAUAUAUAUAUAUAUAUGCUGUUUGCCCUUUUUUAGACUGCAGCUGAAAGCCAAGCAAUUCUGCAUGAUAACCAGGGUCACCAACAAGGACCUUAAGGAUAGUAAACCGAAGGAACAUAUUUCUCUGUGCGAGCUACAAAUUCAGAUCAAGCCCAGGAGAGAGAAUUCUGUGCUUCAGGUCGACGCGAACCGCCCGUCACAUUCUGAAGUUGGUUGAUGCCUUUGACCGUUGCUCACCCCAUUCUGGACAUGUGGAUGGCUGGCAACAGCAACACGGAGUGCUCGCUCGACAGACGAGCUGCUUCACAUGCUCCCGGCCUUGUGCUCCUCAACAGCUUCCAUGGUACUAAAAUCAAAUCCUGCUUACGGAUGGUACCAAAGGCUCGCUGUUUGUCAAGGAUUGACUGUGAAGUUGCCACUCAUCGUUGAUCAUCUCCAGACAGUAAUACGGGAAAUCAUCUGUCGUUGGAACGUUAUUCUAGAGAUUUACUUUGCUUGGGCUCAAAUGAUUAGCAGCUGGGUGAAUGGACUAAUGAAUGCGCCAAAGUGAUUUUAUAUGAUCCUGCUCCUUCUUUUGUCUAAAGGAAAAAGAAGAGAUAUUGUGAUAUGAGCAUAGUGCUGCCGCGCGAUUAGACUAUAAUUAGUGUGUGUGCGCGCGGAGGCAGAGAUCACAUGUCGGUGAAUGGUGGUCGCGUAGGAGUUAAACAAAGUUGGCGGUCGCCUUUUGGUGUGGCCCUUGAGAAAGACUGGUCACCGGUUUGAUAUAUCCGUGUUAAUUUUCCGUUUGCGCCUUUAUAAACUAAAAAUAUUUUCUGUACUCCGGAGUAUGUAUUAGUAGUCCACACGGCAGUGCAGGUAGUGCGGCACGUUGGUACAGUCCCAUGCAGUCUACCUAGUGCGCGAGACUGAAUUGGCUUCAUCGCCUUGAUCAGUGGCAUUUGCCAGGGGCAGGGGCACUAUCAACUCACUAAACUACGACUAGCUCAGUGAAUUAGUCGCAAUUAGGGUCUAAAAGUACGACUUCUUUGUGAUGCUAAUUCUUCUUUGGCUGCCUUUUUUUUCCUAAUUAAUGGAUUAAUGGAAAGCAGUGUUAC
Long non-coding RNA from Triticum aestivum (bread wheat), 1126 nucleotides. RefSeq lists it as uncharacterized. The record is from RefSeq and is a predicted model, not a curated record. Lineage: Eukaryota; Viridiplantae; Streptophyta; Magnoliopsida; Poales; Poaceae. The transcript is spliced from 3 exons.